GACGAACGCUGGCGGCGUGCCUAAUACAUGCAAGUCGAACGCACUCUCGUUUAGAUUGAAGGAGUUUGCUCCUGAUUGAUAAACAUUUGAGUGAGUGGCGGACGGGUGAGUAACACGUGGGUAACCUGCCCUAAAGUGGGGGAUAACAUUUGGAAACAGAUGCUAAUACCGCAUAAAACCUAACACCGCAUGGUGUAGGGUUGAAAGAUGGUUUCGGCUAUCACUUUAGGAUGGACCCGCGGUGCAUUAGUUAGUUGGUGAGGUAAAGGCUCACCAAGACCGUGAUGCAUAGCCGACCUGAGAGGGUAAUCGGCCACACUGGGACUGAGACACGGCCCAGACUCCUACGGGAGGCAGCAGUAGGGAAUCUUCCACAAUGGACGAAAGUCUGAUGGAGCAACGCCGCGUGAGUGAAGAAGGUUUUCGGAUCGUAAAACUCCGUUGUUGGAGAAGAAUGUAUCUGAUAGUAACUGAUCAGGUAGUGACGGUAUCCAACCAGAAAGCCACGGCUAACUACGUG
RNAcentral lists this ribosomal RNA (520 nucleotides) under uncultured bacterium. RNAcentral's name for it is "partial 16S ribosomal RNA". It matches the Rfam family "Bacterial small subunit ribosomal RNA", at positions 28 to 507 of the family's 1533-position model. The record is from RNAcentral.